This 89-nucleotide transfer RNA is filed under the name Pseudomonadales bacterium. Its description in RNAcentral is "tRNA-Leu". It matches the Rfam family "tRNA". From Rfam's summary of the family: Transfer RNA (tRNA) molecules are approximately 80 nucleotides in length. Their secondary structure includes four short double-helical elements and three loops (D, anti-codon, and T loops). The record is from RNAcentral. RNAcentral also lists the same sequence under 1 other name. Lineage: Bacteria; Pseudomonadati; Pseudomonadota; Gammaproteobacteria; Pseudomonadales.
GCCCGGGUGGCGAAAUUGGUAGACGCAAGGGACUUAAACUUCCUCGGCCGGUAACGGCCGUACCGGUUCGACCCCGGUCCCGGGCACCA